RNAcentral lists this ribosomal RNA (543 nucleotides) under uncultured bacterium. RNAcentral describes it as "bacterial SSU rRNA". It matches the Rfam family "Bacterial small subunit ribosomal RNA", at positions 777 to 1319 of the family's 1533-position model. The record is from RNAcentral.
AAUAGAUACCCGGGUAGUCCACGCCGUAAACGAUGAGUGCUAAGUGUUAGGGGGUUUCCGCCCCUUAGUGCUGCAGCUAACGCAUUAAGCACUCCGCCUGGGGAGUACGGUCGCAAGACUGAAACUCAAAGGAAUUGACGGGGGCCCGCACAAGCGGUGGAGCAUGUGGUUUAAUUCGAAGCAACGCGAAGAACCUUACCAGGUCUUGACAUCCCAUUGACCGCUAUGGAGACAUAGCUUUCCCUUCGGGGACAGUGGUGACAGGUGGUGCAUGGUUGUCGUCAGCUCGUGUCGUGAGAUGUUGGGUUAAGUCCCGCAACGAGCGCAACCCUUGUUCUUAGUUGCCAUCAUUUAGUUGGGCACUCUAAGGAGACUGCCGGUGACAAACCGGAGGAAGGUGGGGAUGAUGUCAAAUCAUCAUGCCCCUUAUGACCUGGGCUACACACGUGCUACAAUGGACGGUACAAACGGUUGCCAACCCGCGAGGGGAGCUAAUCCGAUAAAACCGUUCUCAGUUCGGAUUGUAGGCUGCAACUCGCCUAC